AACGCUAGCUACAGGCUUAACACAUGCAAGUCGAGGGGAAACGAUAUUGGAAGCUUGCUUCCGAUAGGCGUCGACCGGCGCACGGGUGAGUAACGCGUAUCCAACCUGCCCACCACUUGGGGGUAACCUUGCGAAAGUAAGACUAAUACCCGAUGAUAUCUCUGGACGACAUCUGAAAGGGAUUAAAGAUUUAUCGGUGAUGGAUGGGGAUGCGUCUGAUUAGCUUGUUGGCGGGGUAACGGCCCACCAAGGCAACGAUCAGUAGGGGUUCUGAGAGGAAGGUCCCCCACAUUGGAACUGAGUCACGGUCCAAACUCCUACGGGAGGCAGCAGUGAGGAAUAUUGGUCAAUGGGCGAGAGCCUGAACCAGCCAAGUAGCGUGCAGGACGACGGCCCUAUGGGUUGUAAACUGCUUUUAUAAGGGAAUAAAGUGAGUCUCGUGAGACUUUUUGCAUGUACCUUAUGAAUAAGGACCGGCUAAUUCCGUGCCAGCAGCCGCGGUAAUACGGAAGGUCCGGGCGUUAUCCGGAUUUAUUGGGUUUAAAGGGAGCGUAGGCCGGAGAUUAAGCGUGUUGUGAAAUGUAGACGCUCAACGUCUGCACUGCAGCGCGAACUGGUUUUCUUGAGUACGCACAAAGUGGGCGGAAUUCGUGGUGUAGCGGUGAAAUGCUUAGAUAUCACGAAGAACUCCGAUUG
This 696-nucleotide ribosomal RNA is filed under the name uncultured bacterium. Its description in RNAcentral is "bacterial SSU rRNA". It matches the Rfam family "Bacterial small subunit ribosomal RNA", at positions 32 to 715 of the family's 1533-position model. The record is from RNAcentral. RNAcentral also lists the same sequence under 1 other name.